UCCGAGUUGUAAUUUGCAGAGGGCGCUUUGGCUUUGGCAGCGGUCCAAGUUCCUUGGAACAGGACGUCACAGAGGGUGAGAAUCCCGUACGUGGUCGCUAGCUAUUGCCGUGUAAAGCCCCUUCGACGAGUCGAGUUGUUUGGGAAUGCAGCUCUAAAUGGGAGGUAAAUUUCUUCUAAAGCUAAAUAUUGGCCAGAGACCGAUAGCGCACAAGUAGAGUGAUCGAAAGAUGAAAAGCACUUUGGAAAGAGAGUCAAACAGCACGUGAAAUUGUUGAAAGGGAAGCGCUUGCAGCCAGACUUGCUUGCAGUUGCUCAUCCGGGCUUUUGCCCGGUGCACUCUUCUGCAGGCAGGCCAGCAUCAGUUUGGGCGGUGGGAUAAAGGUCUCUGACACGUUCCUUCCUUCGGGUUGGCCAUAUAGGGGAGACGUCAUACCACCAGCCUGGACUGAGGUCCGCGCAUCUGCUAGGAUGCUGGCGUAAUGGCUGUAAGCGGCCCGUCUUGAAACACGGACCAAGGAGUCUAACAUCUAUGCGAGUGUUUGGGUGUCAAGCCCGAGCGCGUAAUGAAAGUGAACGGAGGUGGGAACCCGCAAGGGCGCACCAUCGACCGAUCCUGAAGUUUACGGAAGGAUUUGAGUAAGAGCAUGGCUGUUGGGACCCGAAAGAUGGUGAACUAUGCUUGAAUAGGGUGAAGCCAGAGGAAACUCUGGUGGAGG
This 718-nucleotide ribosomal RNA is filed under the name Curvularia geniculata. Its description in RNAcentral is "eukaryotic LSU rRNA". It matches the Rfam family "Eukaryotic large subunit ribosomal RNA", at positions 137 to 873 of the family's 3401-position model. The record is from RNAcentral. Lineage: Eukaryota; Fungi; Ascomycota; Dothideomycetes; Pleosporales; Pleosporaceae.